GGAAGAGUCCUCUCCCACUACAGACACUGUCGGAGGCUAGGAUAAGCCUAGCCUCCACUUAUAGUUAAGUUAGCAACCACCCCAAAUCUUCUUCACCGACAGGUCUCACAACCUUUAUCAUUUUUUUCUCUUUUUCUCCUUAGAUUGUCAAUAGCCUAAGCUCCUCUUGCUCGCUGGGAAAUGCAGACAAGCUUCACUGGAAUCAC
This 206-nucleotide long non-coding RNA is filed under the name Phoenix dactylifera (date palm). Its description in RNAcentral is "long non-coding RNA (PDAC_LNC006310)". The record is from RNAcentral. Lineage: Eukaryota; Viridiplantae; Streptophyta; Magnoliopsida; Arecales; Arecaceae.